GACGUAGGGGACGAGCGUUGUCCGGAUUCAUUGGGCGUAAAGCGCGCGUAGGCUGCCACGCAAGUCGGGUGUGAAAUCCCGGAGCUCAACUCCGGAACUGCACUCGAAACUGCGCGGCUUGAGGUAGGUAGGGGAGAUCGGAAUUCCUGGUGUAGCGGUGGAAUGCGCAGAUAUCAGGAGGAACACCGGUGGCGAAGGCGGAUCUCUGGGCCUUACCUGACGCUGAGACGCGAAAGCUAGGGGAGCGAACAGG
This 253-nucleotide ribosomal RNA is filed under the name uncultured bacterium. RNAcentral's name for it is "partial 16S ribosomal RNA". It matches the Rfam family "Bacterial small subunit ribosomal RNA", at positions 524 to 776 of the family's 1533-position model. The record is from RNAcentral.